UGGGGAAUAUUGGACAAUGGGCGAAAGCCUGAUCCAGCCAUGCCGCGUGAGUGAUGAAGGCCCUAGGGUUGUAAAGCUCUUUUGUGCGGGAAGAUAAUGACGGUACCGCAAGAAUAAGCCCCGGCUAACUUCGUGCCAGCAGCCGCGGUAAUACGAAGGGGGCUAGCGUUGCUCGGAAUCACUGGGCGUAAAGGGUGCGUAGGCGGGUUCUUAAGUCAGAGGUGAAAUCCUGGAGCUCAACUCCAGAACUGCCUUUGAUACUGAGAGUCUUGAGUAUGACAGAGGUGAGUGGAACUGCGAGUGUAGAGGUGAAAUUCGUAGAUAUUCGCAAGAACACCAGUGGCGAAGGCGGCUCACUGGGUCAUUACUGACGCUGAGGCACGAAAGCGUGGGGAGCAAACA
Molecule: ribosomal RNA, 402 nt
Filed under: uncultured Bradyrhizobiaceae bacterium
Lineage: Bacteria; Pseudomonadati; Pseudomonadota; Alphaproteobacteria; Hyphomicrobiales; Nitrobacteraceae
Also listed under: 1 other name
Description: partial 16S ribosomal RNA
Rfam family: Bacterial small subunit ribosomal RNA
Source: RNAcentral